CAGCAGCCGCGGUAAUACGUAGGUGGCAAGCGUUGUCCGGAAUCAUUGGGCGUAAAGAGCGCGUAGGUGGCUUGCCAGGUCCGAUGUGAAAACCUGGGGCUUAACUCCAGGCCUGCAUCGGAAACCGGCUUGCUAGAGUCUGGGAGAGGAGAGUGGAAUUCCUGGUGUAGCGGUGAAAUGCGUAGAUAUCAGGAGGAACACCGGUAGCGAAGGCGGCUCUCUGGAACAGUACUGACGCUGAGGCGCGAAAGCUAGGGGAGCAAACAGGAUUAGAUACCCUGGUAGUCCUAGCCGUAAACGAUGGACACUAGGUGUCGGGGGUGUCGACUCCCUCGGUGCCGAAGCUAACGCAUUAAGUGUCCCGCCUGGGGAGUACGGCCGCAAGGCUAAAACUCAAAGGAAUUGACGGGGGCCCGCACAAGCAGUGGAGCAUGUGGUUUAAUUCGACGCAACGCGAAGAACCUUACCUGGGCUUGACAUGUACGUGGUAGGAAUCGGAAACGUGCCCGACCCCUCGGGGAGCGUACACAGGAGGUGCAUGGCC
This 544-nucleotide ribosomal RNA is filed under the name uncultured archaeon. RNAcentral's name for it is "bacterial SSU rRNA". It matches the Rfam family "Bacterial small subunit ribosomal RNA", at positions 509 to 1050 of the family's 1533-position model. The record is from RNAcentral.